GUGAGGAAUAUUGGUCAAUGGGCGGGAGCCUGAACCAGCCAAGUCGCGUGAAGGAAGAAGGAUCUAUGGUUCGUAAACUUCUUUUGCAGGGGAAUAAAGUGCAGGACGUGUCCUGUUUUGUAUGUACCCUGAGAAUAAGGAUCGGCUAACUCCGUGCCAGCAGCCGCGGUAAUACGGAGGAUCCGAGCGUUAUCCGGAUUUAUUGGGUUUAAAGGGUGCGUAGGUGGUUUGAUAAGUCAGCGGUGAAAGUUUGCAGCUUAACUGUAAAAAUGCCGUUGAAACUGUCGGACUUGAGUGUAAAUGAGGUAGGCGGAAUGCGUGGUGUAGCGGUGAAAUGCAUAGAUAUCACGCAGAACUCCGAUUGCGAAGGCAGCUUACUGGGAUGCAACUGACGCUGAGGCACGAAAGCGUGGGGAUCAAACAGGAUUAGAUACCCUGGUAGUCC
This 445-nucleotide ribosomal RNA is filed under the name uncultured bacterium. Its description in RNAcentral is "partial 16S ribosomal RNA". It matches the Rfam family "Bacterial small subunit ribosomal RNA", at positions 354 to 796 of the family's 1533-position model. The record is from RNAcentral.